RNAcentral lists this ribosomal RNA (531 nucleotides) under uncultured bacterium. RNAcentral describes it as "bacterial SSU rRNA". It matches the Rfam family "Bacterial small subunit ribosomal RNA", at positions 777 to 1304 of the family's 1533-position model. The record is from RNAcentral.
AAUAGAUACCCGGGUAGUCCACGCUGUAAACGAUGGGUACUAGGUUUGGUGGGUCUUGACCCCCGCUGAACCGGCGCUAACGCACUAAGUACCCCGCCUGGGAAGUACGGUCGCAAGACUAAAACUCAAAGGAAUUGACGGGGGGCCCGCACAAGCGGUGGAUCAUGUGGUUUAAUUCGAAGCAACGCGAAGAACCUUACCUGGGUUUGACAUCCUCUGACAUCCGUAGAGAUACGGCCUUCGUAGCAAUACGACAGAGAGACAGGUGCUGCAUGGCUGUCGUCAGCUCGUGUGGUGACAUGUUGGGUUAAGUCCCGCAACGAGCGCAACCCCUGUCCUUAGUUGCCAGCAUUCAGUUGGGCACUCUAGGGAGACUGCCGUGGUGAACACGGAGGAAGGUGGGGAUGACGUCAAGUCCUCAUGGCCUUUAUAUCCAGGGCGACACACGUGAUACAAUGGACGGUACAGAGGGAAGCGAAACCGCGAGGUGGAGCCGAAUCUCAAAAAGCCGUUCUCAGUUCGGAUUGGAGU